Gavialis gangeticus (Gharial) is the source of this 2331-nucleotide long non-coding RNA. RefSeq lists it as uncharacterized. Lineage: Eukaryota; Metazoa; Chordata; Crocodylia; Gavialidae. The record is from RefSeq and is a predicted model, not a curated record. The transcript has 3 exons.
ACACAGAGGGCAGAUCCUGUGCUGCGAUGGGGGCACCUCACCUCAAGUGAUAUCCCAAACUGGAAAGCAUCAGCCUCAUUACAUGUUGCUUGGCUGUACUUUAUUGUGUCUGCAGUGGUUUUACUAGCAAAGGGGUCACCAGUUUAUAGCAUGGGCCUCAUCUGUAGAAGAAAUGAAACCAUAACCUGAAGAGCAACGACUGUGACUUCGGUAGCCCUUGUUACUGAAAAUCAACCAGACCCAUGUGUGGUUAUUUUGUCGUGCUGAGUAAUGCAACCAAAACCAAAAAGCAAGGUUCAAAAAGUACCAUCCUGAUGAAGAUAACGGGAAAAAACUGAACUGAAAACAUCUUUCCGUUCUGGUGAUGGGAUCAUUUGGAUUAAAAAAUGGACUGCAUAAGGACAGGUUCUCACUUCCAGCUAGUUAACUCUUCUUGUUCCCUAUAUAGAUUCCUCUUUGUAUGCUGAUAGGAUUUGCAUCUUUCUCUACAAAAUAGCAUGUAUAUAUAGGAUAGAUGUAUCAAAACGUAUAUCAACGUCUGUCUUUUUAGCUUUCUCUUAUAGUAAUGGCAACCUCGGCGAUUCCAAGUUUUUCUCGUAUUAUCCAUUUGCUUAAUGCGCAAUGAUGUAGCUUUCCCCACACCUGGAUCUCAGCCAACUACAACUGUCAGAAACCAUUUAUCUGCCUCAAUGAUCAAAUAAGCUGGCUGGUAAAACAAUGGACAUGUGAUUCACUGGGAGUGGAAGAAUGGUAAUAUAAAGAUAAGAAAAGCUGAGACAAAAAAAAGGCUAAAUGACUUAUACAGCUACCCAUCAAGACAAUGAAAGAAUCAAGAGCUGCACCUAGUUUUCCUGACUCCCAAAGCAGCACUCACGUAAUGGAUCACAUUGCCAAUUUAAUUGACUUUUGGUCAGCUAGUUGGAGUGGUCCUGCCUCUGAAGAUUUUUAUUAGUUACUGGAACGGUUUGUGUAAAGAAUGGGGCCCCAGAAUUCGAAUUCUAUCCAAUAUUCCUCAUUUUUUUUAUUUGAACUUGAUCCCUGGAGGAAGAUGAGAAGCCAAACAAUUCUGGAAGCCAGGAUCAUCACAAAUGAGUUGACGGAUGUGAUUGUGAAAAAUGCAAAGCAAAAUUCUUCCUGUUCUUCCAGAUCUAUGAUCCCUCUUUUAAACAUGUCACUUGGAGUUCUUUGAAUGGGGUAAGGGCAGAUCUGUGUUAUGUGAUCAACUGGAAAACAGAAGAAUGGAGAACUUUACUUUGUUUGGCCUGGAUUGCAUCUACAAGUUAAAAUAACUAAAAAACCCUUCCAGUCUUAUACCUCUAUGAAACUCCAUGACGUUUGUACUUUAAUCCUGAAUUAACCAAAUUAAGAACAGGAAAGCGUAACGCUGCUACAUGCCUUCUGAGGACCAGCCUUCAUUUUUCCAGAGCAUCUCAUUUAACCACAGGAAUAUUUUUUUCCCUAUAAAGUUGUAUUUAAAUAUUUAUUUUAAAAUAGUGAAGUGCCUUCAUAUAAAGACACGGAAAGUCGUUUUAGUUGGCAGGCCUAAGAUCAAAUAAAAUAUCUAAAUGUGGUUUAGAUAUUGACAUUUAUUAUUUUUAUGAGAAAAAAUGCACCCUAAAAGAGGAACUCAAAAUAUUUGAUUAUUUUUGAGGACUGGAUCCUGGGUCAGGAACUGGUGGAGGUGUCUCUUGUUUUCCGAGAAAGAAAGGCUUGAAAGAUGAGGUAGAUAAGUCUUUGUAAGUAUUUUGUGUAUGCAUCAGAAUAGAUAUAUCUACUGUCUUAUAUAUUAGAUCUAUUAAUUAUAUAAUUGUUUUAGCAUUCUAAUUGCCAUCCAUUAUGUUAGAUAUAGUGAUCCAAAGCCUGCCAGGCUCAUAACCUGACAACCCCAUAGAAAUCUGUUGCUCAUUUUUUAGUGAAACUGGGAUUCUGCUCAGUUCUACGAUCUUUUCAGUAGUGAAUCAAUUCUGGAAUGGCACGUGUCUGUGAACAAGAAAAAUGACAUGGAGCACCAAUCCUGGCAACAUAGGAAAAUCACUGAAAUAAGUUUAGCACUGCAAAGAGGACUUAGCGAGAACGACUAACUCUAAUGGCACUCCCUCUUUCUGCUUCACCAUCCAUCUUUCUGCUACAGUCUUAAAGAAAUAGUACGUACAGCUUCUUGUGAGCCAAGAAUAUGCUGCAAAGCCUUGCAGUCACCAGGAACAAACCUCCCUAAUGUGAUGUCACUUCAUAUGCUACUAGCUAAUUGAUUUCUCACGAGUUACAGUUGUACCUCAAAACCGAGUUUGUUUUUUCGCGUUUUGAAAUUCCAUAACACGUAAUAACCCUACA